UACGUAGGGGGCUAGCGUUGUCCGGAAUCAUUGGGCGUAAAGCGCGUGUAGGCGGUUCGGUAAGUCCGCUGUGAAAGUCGGGGGCUCAACCCUCGAAUGCCGGUGGAUACUGUCGAACUAGAGUGCGGAAGAGGCGAGUGGAAUUCCUGGUGUAGCGGUGAAAUGCGCAGAUAUCGGGAGGAACACCUAUGGCGAAGGCAGCUCGCUGGGACGUUACUGACGCUGAGACGCGAAAGCGUGGGGAGCAAACAGG
Molecule: ribosomal RNA, 253 nt
Filed under: uncultured bacterium
Lineage: Bacteria
Description: partial 16S ribosomal RNA
Rfam family: Bacterial small subunit ribosomal RNA
Source: RNAcentral